RNAcentral lists this transfer RNA (86 nucleotides) under Candidatus Moanibacter tarae. RNAcentral describes it as "Candidatus Moanabacter tarae tRNA-Leu". The record is from RNAcentral. Lineage: Bacteria; Pseudomonadati; Verrucomicrobiota; Opitutia; Puniceicoccales.
UCGCUGUAUGGCGAUGGCGCGUUCGACGGUUAGAUUGUCGCUAAAUAUAGCUGUUUUGGUCGAUGGAUCGAUUCCCUCACAACGGU